RNAcentral lists this ribosomal RNA (492 nucleotides) under uncultured bacterium. Its description in RNAcentral is "partial 16S ribosomal RNA". It matches the Rfam family "Bacterial small subunit ribosomal RNA", at positions 29 to 507 of the family's 1533-position model. The record is from RNAcentral.
AGUGAACGCUGGCGGUAGGCCUAACACAUGCCAGUCGAACGGCAGCACAGUAAGAGCUUGCUCUUACGGGUGGCGAGUGGCGGACGGGUGAGGAAUACAUCGGAAUCUACUUUUUCGUGGGGGAUAACGUAGGGAAACUUACGCUAAUACCGCAUACGACCUACGGGUGAAAGCAGGGGAUCUUCGGACCUUGCGCGAUUGAAUGAGCCGAUGUCGGAUUAGCUAGUUGGCGGGGUAAAGGCCCACCAAGGCGACGAUCCGUAGCUGGUCUGAGAGGAUGAUCGGCCACACUGGAACUGGGACACGGUCCAGACUCCUACGGGAGGCAGCAGUGGGGAAUAUUGGACAAUGGGCGCAAGCCUGAUCCAGCCAUACCGCGUGGGUGAAGAAGGCCUUCGGGUUGUAAGGCCCUUUUGUUGGGAAAGAAAAGCAGCAGGUUAAUACCCCGCUGUUCUGACGGUACCCAAAGAAUAAGCACCGGCUAACUUCGUG